AAAUCGCAAUUAAAAUCAAAUUAUUAAGAGAUUUAGCUAAAACGGAGGGCCAUACUGCAGUGUGCGAAUUAUAUGGGGGGCCGAUUGGGAAAUAUCCCGCUUCCCCAAAACGCAGCACUUCAUGGUGGAUUAAAUCGAAAUAACAAAAAAAACAAAAGAUUAGACUUAAAAGGAAAUAAAAAUAAAAAAGGAACCAGAUUGUAACACACUUGCAAAGUGGAGGGACUAGGGUUGUAAAUAACCCAUUGAUCGUAACACGUGGAUCCCCCAUGGAGCGGGUCGGGUGGCGCACCGAUCUGGAUCAGUACGGCACCGUUUUGGAGCCACUGAUCAGACUCCAAAUGACGCCGUUUAAACGUCCUCUGGGAAACAGAAAUAAAAAGAAAAAAGAAACCCUAAAUCAUUCAGUCAUUCAAAGAAAACAGAAAGAAAAAAAAAGAAAUAUUUUGUCCUCCCCUCUCCC
Molecule: long non-coding RNA, 463 nt
Filed under: Gossypium raimondii (Peruvian cotton)
Lineage: Eukaryota; Viridiplantae; Streptophyta; Magnoliopsida; Malvales; Malvaceae
Description: long non-coding RNA (GRAI_LNC009974)
Source: RNAcentral